GCUGGCAUGGCUCAGGAGGUAGAGCGUCUCAUUGGUAAUGAGGAGGUCACGAGUUCAACUCUCGUUGCCAGCU
This 73-nucleotide transfer RNA is filed under the name Agathobacter ruminis. It matches the Rfam family "tRNA". Rfam says of the family: Transfer RNA (tRNA) molecules are approximately 80 nucleotides in length. The record is from Rfam by way of RNAcentral. Lineage: Bacteria; Bacillati; Bacillota; Clostridia; Lachnospirales; Lachnospiraceae. RNAcentral also lists the same sequence under 2 other names.